GAUGAACGCUAGCGAUAGGCUUAACACAUGCAAGUCGAGGGGCAGCAUGGUCUUAGCUUGCUAAGACUGAUGGCGACCGGCGCACGGGUGCGUAACGCGUAUGCAACUUGCCUCACAGAGGGGGAUAACCCGUCGAAAGACGGACUAAUACCGCGUACACUUGGGAUAGGGCAUCCUGACCCAAGGAAAUGAAAUUCGCUGUGAGAUAGGCAUGCGUCCCAUUAGCUAGUUGGUGAGGUAACGGCUCACCAAGGCGACGAUGGGUAGGGGAACUGAGAGGUUGAACCCCCACACUGGUACUGAGACACGGACCAGACUCCUACGGGAGGCAGCAGUGAGGAAUAUUGAUCAAUGGGCGAGAGCCUGAACCAGCCAAGUCGCGUGAAGGAUGACUGUCUUAUGGAUUGUAAACUUCUUUUAUACGGGAAUAACAAGAGCCACGUGUGGCUCCCUGCAUGUACCGUAUGAAUAAGCAUCGGCUAACUCCGUG
RNAcentral lists this ribosomal RNA (490 nucleotides) under uncultured bacterium. RNAcentral describes it as "partial 16S ribosomal RNA". It matches the Rfam family "Bacterial small subunit ribosomal RNA", at positions 28 to 507 of the family's 1533-position model. The record is from RNAcentral.